GGAUUAGAUACCCUGGUAGUCCACGCCGUAAACGAUGUCGACUAGCCGUUGGAGUCCUUGAGGCUUUAGUGGCGCAGCUAACGCGAUAAGUACACCGCCUGGGGAGUACGGUCGCAAGGCUAAAACUCAAAGGAAUUGACGGGGGCUCACACAAGCGGUGGAGCAUGUGGCUUAAUUCGAAACAACGCGAAGAACCUUAUCCAGGGCUUGACAUCCACGGAUUAGCUUCCCGAAAAGGAAGUGACGAGUUUUACUUGGAACGUGGACAGGUGCUGCAUGGCUGUCGUCAGCUCGUGCCG
Molecule: ribosomal RNA, 299 nt
Filed under: uncultured bacterium
Lineage: Bacteria
Description: partial 16S ribosomal RNA
Rfam family: Bacterial small subunit ribosomal RNA
Source: RNAcentral